This 535-nucleotide long non-coding RNA is filed under the name Hordeum vulgare. RNAcentral's name for it is "long non-coding RNA (HVUL_LNC019204)". Lineage: Eukaryota; Viridiplantae; Streptophyta; Magnoliopsida; Poales; Poaceae. The record is from RNAcentral.
AGCAAAACAAACCAUCAUGGAUCAACAAUCUCAAAGAUAUGAAAAUUAAAUAAGGAUCAUCUGGUUAUACAAUCGUACUCAAUACUAGUCACACACUAAAUGAUGGAAACUUACUGAUACAGAGGUGAAACUUUGGGUUGUCUAUGAUCUCCAAGGAGCCGAGAAGGAAAAGACAUGAAAUCUAGAGACCAGCUCUUUUCUUCAAAUGUUGCUUGAAAUUCAUGAUAUCACCAUAAUAAAAUGAAAAUCUUCAAAUCUUUGAGAAUCCCAGAGCAAAACAAACCAUCAUGGAUCAACAAUGUCAAAGAUACGAAAAUUAAAUAAGGAUCAUCUGGUUAUAAAAUAGCGUAGAGAAGAAGAUACGUUUUAAGUCGAUACAAUCGUACUCAAUACUCAAUACUAGUCACUCUAAAUGAUGGAAACUUUCUGAUACAGAGGCAAAACUUUGGGUUGUCUAUAGAUCUCCAAAGAGCCGAGAAGGAAAAGACAUGAAAUUAGAGACCAGCUCUUUUCUUCAAAUGUUGCUUGAAAUCCA